UGCAAUGAAUGGAAUGGGAUGGAACUGUUCAAAAAUUUGCGCAUGUUUGCUCGAAGGAGAAAACUGUUCAAGCCUAAAGCGUUCUCCUAGACUUAUAAAUAGACACCGUUUCCUUAACCAAUGAAAAUAAGUGAUGACGCUGAUGUAUUCCUUUUUGAAAAGAAAGUGAGGCUUUACUGCAUGUCCGCUGCAGCUGAGAAUCCUAAGACAAUAAAGAUUAUAUUGACGUCCAAUGGUGAGUUGGGCUGAAAUCCAGGUUACUAAUCCUAUUAUUUAUUUAUUUAUUGUUAUUAUUAUUAUCUUUUUUUUUCUUUAGGCUAACUUGCUCAGUUAACUAUGUUCUACAGUAGUUUAGUAAAUUUUCCACAGUUCUGACAUUUCAUCAAUUCAACUGGUUGUUGCCAAAAAGCCUUGUUCAUUACCUGACUGCAGCAAGCACUCUUUUACUGUGUGUAACCAUAGGAAACAGUCUCUUUUGAGCCUCUCUUUGUAAGUCCAGGAUGACCACCGUCAUUGAUUAAAGUUCACAUGUUAGCACACAUGCUCCUCCCCUUUUGUACUUUGUUUCAUCAGCAGCAGGGCAAAUAAGUUUCUGCCUCUUUGUCCAUCUUGUAGUGCUCCCCGUCUUGAUGUUAUAAGUCACAGCUUUUGGUGAGGGCUUCCAGGUUCUCUUUGUAUAGAAGUCAGACCCAAACAUUCUUUGCAGCUGGUUGUGACAGGCCCACCCAGUAAAGUUCAUGCCCGCCACAAUGCACAGCAAACGUUUUCCUUAAAUAUGUUGAUUGGGUUGAAAUGACAGAACUUUCUCUUUUACAAAUCAAAAUUAACGAUGGUUUCUAAUAAUUAGUCGACUUUAUUGACUCAAAGGUAAAUCUGAACUACUUCCUAUGCAAAAUUUGUUCUGAAUCAUCAAAUCAGUUCUACACAGGUUUUAAACAUUAGGCACAAUCUAUCCCAAAUGCAAGAUCCCUUCUUUCAUUUUUUUAUUUAUCUAUUUUAUUUUGGGAAAAUAACUACCAGUUUUAACUCAAAACAGCCUGGUACAGUUUCUAGCCAGGUUACAGGAAAUAGUACUUAGUUUAUCUGUUUUUUCAUUAUUCAGCGUCUCAAAAUCCAGCCAUUAACGUUAAUGGUUCUUAAAGUUGAGGCAAGACAAUUAUUGGAUUUUGUGUUAUAGCAAGAUUUAACAAAUAUUUUAUUUCCUGACUGAUUAUUUGUUAAUUUUAUGGUUUUCAUAAAGAUGAUCCUGAGAAGUUCAGAGCUGCUUUUCGCAGCACCCUGUGCUAUUUUUAGACUAUGGGAUUCUUGUGUGUAAAAGUGAGUGGAGUCAGGUCCCCAGGCUGAAACUCCAGUCAUUCUCACUAGAUCUGUCCGAGAGGAAGGAUCUCCUGAAUACCCUAACCAGAAGCCUUAAGUCUCUUGAACUAAAUAACCGUCUAGCAAAAACAUGGACCGCACCCUGUUUCUCAAGCAGCUGCUCCCUCUAUUAAAAACUGCGUCAUUCAGGAGAAGAUCCAGCGAAAGCAGCAUUUACUUCUCAUGCAAGAAGACACACAUUCACUCACUCACACAACGGCACAGACGACAUUCUUUCUGUUUGUCAAAGUCUUUUAAACAAAAGUAAGUCAGUCCGUCACUUAUUUAUUCUCUUUAUAUAUUUAUAUAUAAUAUUUUAAGCACAGAAUUUAAGUAACACUGCACUGGUUAUUUUCAGAAUUUAAUGCUUACUAUGCUUUUAAGCAGGCCUUAUGUAACAUUAGAGCAAAUCCAAUUGCAAUUUUUGAGAGCGCUCUGAGAAACAGUUUGUAUAUUUAUUUUCUGCAGAUCUGUUUCGAUUUUACUGUUUAGCAGCUAUCUGACUUUAUGUAUAUGUAUAUCCAUAUAUUUCUAAAAUAAAGCUGUCAUAUACAACCUUA
This is a long non-coding RNA of Nothobranchius furzeri (turquoise killifish), 1916 nucleotides long. RefSeq lists it as uncharacterized. NCBI's taxonomy places the organism in Eukaryota, Metazoa, Chordata, Actinopteri, Cyprinodontiformes, Nothobranchiidae. The record is from RefSeq and is a predicted model, not a curated record.